This 335-nucleotide ribosomal RNA is filed under the name uncultured Planctomycetales bacterium. RNAcentral describes it as "bacterial SSU rRNA". It matches the Rfam family "Bacterial small subunit ribosomal RNA", at positions 473 to 806 of the family's 1533-position model. Lineage: Bacteria; Pseudomonadati; Planctomycetota; Planctomycetia; Planctomycetales. The record is from RNAcentral.
CAAAGGCUCCAAAGGAAGCCACGGCUAACUCUGUGCCAGCAGCCGCGGUAAUACAGAGGUGGCAAGCGUUGUUCGGAAUUAUUGGGCGUAAAGAGCACGUAGGUGGAUUUGUAAGUCAGACGUGAAAGCCUUCUGUUCAACGGAAGAAUUGCAUCUGAAACUACAAACCUUGAGUGUAGGAGGGGAGAAUGGAACUUCUGGUGGAGCGGUGAAAUGCGUAGAUAUCAGAAGGAACGCCGGCGGCGAAAGCGAUUCUCUGGCCUAUUACUGACACUCAGUGUGCGAAAGCUAGGGGAGCAAACGGGAUUAGAUACCCCGGUAGUCCUAGCCGUAAA